UACGUAGGUGGCAAGCGUUGUCCGGAUUUACUGGGCGUAAAGGGCUUGUAGGCGGUUCGUUAAGUCUGGUGUGAAAUCUCCCGGCUCAACUGGGAGGGGUCAUCGGAUACUGGCGGACUUGAGGUAGGUAGAGGAAAGCAGAAUUCCUGGUGUAGCGGUGAAAUGCGUAGAUAUCAGGAGGAAUACCAGUGGCGAAGGCGGCUUUCUGGGCCUAUCCUGACGCUGAGGAGCGAAAGCGUGGGGAGCAAACCGG
This 253-nucleotide ribosomal RNA is filed under the name uncultured bacterium. RNAcentral describes it as "partial 16S ribosomal RNA". It matches the Rfam family "Bacterial small subunit ribosomal RNA", at positions 524 to 776 of the family's 1533-position model. The record is from RNAcentral.